CCUCACGCAUAUAAUUUCCUUUCUGACUUAAGCAUUGGAGGGGCGACGAAAACAUACCUCGUUGCCUUUGUUUCAGGUAUCGAAAUACUACAAUUGUGCUCAUUCAAAUCAUCAAGCUCAGGAAAUCUGCAGAUACAAUUUUUGGUAGCAUCAUUGGCGGCGUCUGUGGGAAACGCUACCAAAAGCCAUGGUUAAUACACGAUCAAGUCUUCCUCCCGCAAGCUCAUCCGCGCCCAUACCUUAUCCUGCCGAAAAUCAAUCGGCUCCUCAUGAAGAAUCCUCAGGAGUGCUCGCACCUCUGCCAGCGGUCAUCACAACCGAAGCCUUUAAAGAGCUCUGUCAGCAGGUGGCCACACUCACGCAACUAUUAAGUCAAAGAAAUUCACAUCCGUCUCUAGCGCAGGUGGAGCAUGGCGAUUUUAUGGUCGAUGCUCGGGCACGACCACCAAACCCCGCAAAUGGCGAAGUAGAAACCUCGGGUAUUCACAAUAUGGCCUCGGGCUCGAGAUCGGUCGCCAUGGAUUCCGGUGAAAUUGCCCGGAUUAUUCAAGAAGAAAUUACAGCUGGCCUGCAAUGGAAUGCUCGGGGGCCAACAGGUUUCACUCCAUUCACGCCAGAGAUAUUGUCAUAUCCCUUGCUCGAUAGAUUCAA
RNAcentral lists this long non-coding RNA (651 nucleotides) under Olea europaea subsp. europaea. The record is from RNAcentral. Lineage: Eukaryota; Viridiplantae; Streptophyta; Magnoliopsida; Lamiales; Oleaceae.